GACUAAGGAGAACUCAGCAGAGGGGAAGUAAGAGUUUGAAGGCCAGAGACGCUCAGCAUCUCCUACCUGAGUCAUGCCAUGGUCUGUAAAGAAGUAGACUGACAUUUUGGUGUGGAUUGCAUUGAACCUGUAGAUUGAUUGAUUUUGGAAACAGAACAAGUCAUUUCACCCAUGGGACAACUUAAGGCAGUGAAUAUAGGUCAGGCAUAGAGGAAGUGCUUAAAGAUAAUGCCUCUGAAUGAAAUGGAUAUCUUCAUGAGAAUACAUCAGAUUACAGAAAAUAUAAUCAAGGAGAAAAAAUAUGAAUUUGCUGCAAGUGUCCUGAGAGAUAAUACAAGAAGUGAAAGGUGAAUUGAAGGUAGCACCUCAUGAUGCAACUUCCAUGUGAUCAUCACCCGAAGAAGAUGACACAGAUAUUUGGGGAUUACACAUACUCCUAUAAGUAACCUCUCAGCUGUGUUAUGUAAUCAACCUCAUAAACUCACUUAUGUCAUCAAGUGACAUAAAAGUGGAUUGAUGAAAUCA
Mastomys coucha (southern multimammate mouse) is the source of this 525-nucleotide long non-coding RNA. RefSeq lists it as uncharacterized. The record is from RefSeq and is a predicted model, not a curated record. The transcript is spliced from 4 exons. NCBI's taxonomy places the organism in Eukaryota, Metazoa, Chordata, Mammalia, Rodentia, Muridae.